AGUAGGUUCAAAAUAAAUGGAUGGAAACAGACCACACAAGCAGUAACCAAGGGAGAGCUGAAGUAGCUAUACUAACAUCAGAUGACGUAGACUUUGAUACAAAAAUUGUUACUGGACAGAAAGAGGAAUACAUUAUAAUGAUAGCAAGGUUAAUAUUAGGAAGAUAUAACCAUUAUAAAUAUAUAUGCCCCUAAUGACCAAAAGUGCAUGCACCAGAAACGGACAGAAUUGAAAGGUAGUAUAGUCAGUUGAACACCAGCAGCAGGAGAUUUCAAUAACCCAUUUCCAUGUGGAUAAAACAACUAAGAGGACCGUCAUCAAGGACACAGACGACUUGACCAGCUCUCUGAACCAGAAAACCUGGAAGACAUACACACAACACUCCCCUCAACCACAGUCUCCAGAACAGACCGUCGUCCAGGCCGUAAAACAAACCUCAGUAAACUAACUUAAAAGGACUGAAAUUAUACAAAAUAUGCUCUCCAAAAAUAGUGAAAUGAAAACAGGCGAUUAAUAGAAGGAGAUUUGGGGAAUUCACAACAAUGUGGAAAUUAAACAGCACACUUCUAAAUAACCAAUGGAUCCAAGGAGAAAUUAUAAGGGAAACGAUAAAGUACUUGAAGCACAGUAUAUAACAACCGUAAGGAAUGCAAGCAGAGCAGUGUUUAGGGCAAAAUAUAUAGCUGUACAUUCCUAUAUUUAACAAGAGGGAAGUUCUCAAAUUUAUAACGUAAACUUUCACCUUAAGAAACUAGAAAAAGAACAAACCAGACCCAAAGCUAAUAGAGGAAAAGAAAUAAAGAUGAGAGAGAAAGUAGAGAGUAGAAAAGUAGCAGAAAAAUCAAUGAAGUCCAAGGUGGCCCUUUUGAAAAGAUCAAAAAAAAAAAAAAAAAAAAGCAAAUCUUUAGUCCAAGAAAAAGAAGAUUCAAAUUACUAAAAUCAGAAACGAAAGAGAGUUGGAGUUCCCAUAGUGGCUCAGCAGUAACCAACCUGACCUGUAUCCAUGAGAACUAGGGUUCGAUCCCUGGCCUUGCUCGGUGGGUUAAAGAUCCGGCAUUGCUGUGAGCUGUGGUGGAGGUCAAAAGACGCAGCUCAGAUCCUGUGUUGCUGUGGCUGUGGUGCAGGCCGGCAGCUAUAGCUCUGAUUUGACCCCUAGGCUGGGAACCUCCAUACGCCGUGGGUGUAGCCCUACCAAAAACACACACCCAAAAGAAAUCUUUCAAGGUAUCGCUAGUGAUCUUAAAGAAAUAAAGAAGGAGCAUAAGGGAAUACUAAAUACUAUGAACACCUGUAUACCAACAAAAUAGAUAAUUUAUAGGAAAUGGAUGAUUAUAUGAAAUGGAUAAAUCCCUAGAAAGGCAUAAACUACAAAAACUAACUCAAGAAAUAGACAACCUGAACAGAUCUCUAGCAGGUAAAUAAAUUAAAUUGGUAAAUUGAAACCUUUUCAUAGAAAAAAGCCUACACAGAGAUAACUUUACUGGUAAAAAUCUAAACACUGAACAAAUUAAUACCAAUUCUUUAUAAACUUUUCCCCAAAAAAUGUAAAAAGAUAAAAUACUUCCUAGUUCAUCCUCUGAGGCUAGUAUCAGCCUCAUACCAAAACCAGAAAAAGAUAUCAUAAGAAAACUAACAUACUGAUAUCCCUUAUAAACACAGAUGCAAAACUUCUCAAAAAGUAGCAAACCAAAUCCAGAAGUAUGUGGAAAGGGUUAUACACCAUGACCAAGUGGGAUUUAUUCUAGGUAUACAGACUUGCUUCACCCUGCUAAAAUCAACCAAUAUGAUACACUGUUUCAAGAAAACAAAGGCCCCAAACCACAUAAUCCUCUCAAUAGCUACAGAAAAAGCAUUCAGGAAAAUCUAAUACUCUUUCAUGAUAACAAGCACUCAGCAAAUUAGGAAUAGGAAACUUUCUCAGUCUGUUAAAUGGCAUUUGUUAAAAACCCGUAGCUAAUAAUCAUGCUAACACAUUUCAUAUUUUAAUACAUUGAAAUGAAAAUAUUUUAGAUACAUUGUGUUCAAUAAAAUAUAUCAUUGAGGUUUUAUUUUAUCUAUUUUGAAUGUGGCUCCUAGGAAAUUUGAAAUAACAGUAUGGCUCAUAUUUCCGGGAUGCAUUUUAUUUCUGUUUGACAGUACUGUUCUGGACCCAGAGUCUCCAGGUUCUGGCAAAUCUGAGUCCUCUUCCCUGCUCUGUAGGACUGGAUGGCUGAGAGGUGAGGGCAGAACAUGAGGAUUGAGAGAUGGGUGGAGAAGUCAGCAGGGGAAGGUGAAGGGUGAAUCAAACGCACUCUUCCUGUGGGCACAGGGGCUUUGUUUUCUUCGCAGCUGUAUCCUCAGUGCCUGGAAUAGUAAAAUGUAAUAGAAUCAAUUUCAGUUAAGAGGAUAGUGUUUGUUGCUAAAUGGUUAUUUAUUUGACAUCUGAUAUUUGCUAUGGGUACAUAGAAUCUAGAAAAUGAGAACACAGUUCAAUGAGCAGCAGACAUGGCAUCUGAUAAUCAUCCAGCCGUGAGACAAGACGCCUCGGAGGACAGGAGGAACCAGGCAGCAGUGGUUGCCAUUUGACAAAACGGGUUUGUUGUUGCAGGGUGAUUUUAGAGUGCAAGACACAGUCUUUGCCUAACAAUUUUUUUUUUUUUCAUAUUUAGGGAAAAUACACUUCUAUCUGAAGUCUGUACUUUAUGUAAAAUCACCUAAUUUCCAAAUGUUGGCACCCGGUUUCAAAUUUUUUUUAAUGUGCCUGUCAAACAAAACCCUCCUGUCCACUGGCUUUGUCCCAGGAGCCCACUAAGUAUUUAGCAGGUAAAGUGGAUACAUACUUCCUUUGACUCCUAAGCUAUCAAAGCAGAGCACUCAACCAGUGCCACACACGAAAAGCCUUCUCAGACAUCUGUGAUGUUCUCUCUCACAAGGUCUCAGUCCAUGUAUUUCUUCUUAGCAUUGUUACAUUUGCAGUCCACAUCUGUGUGAUUAUUUAAUUCACUGUCUCUUCCAUGGAACAUCCAGAAGCUCCCCAUGGAUGGGGCUGGAUCUGUUUUUACUAGCCAGUAAUUACUAACAAAAUGAAUGAAUGAAGUAGGCAGGAGAGAUUAAUUUGAAAUGCAUUCUGGGAGUUGCCAUUGUGGCUCAGUCGUUAAGGAAUCCAUCUAGGAACCAUGAGGUUUCAGGUUCGAUCCCUGGCCUCAGUGGGUUGGGGAUCUGGCGUUGGCGUGGGCUGUGGCGUAGGUCGCACAUGCGGCUCGGAUCCUGCGUUGCUGUGGCUCUGGCAUAGGCCAGUGGCUACAACUCCGAUUUGACCCCUGGCCUGGGAACCUCCGCAGGCCGCAGGUGGGGCCCUAGAAAAAGAUUAAAAAGACAAAAAAAAAAAAAAAAAAAAAAAGAAAUGCGUUCUAUAGUUAAAAGUGUAUACUGUCUCACUUGGAAUUCUGUGUUGAAAGAUUGAGUCCAACAGCAAGUUGUUUUGUUGGCUCUAAGGAAAGAUGACUUUUUUUCCCUGCUAUGUAGACAUUUCAGUGUUAUCUACACUAACAUAUCUCAAAGCAUGUUUCAGAGAAUUCUGGCAUUUGCAGCAGAACACAUUAAUGUCAGUAUUUAUUUGUACUUGGUAAUCCCAAAGUUCUUAUAGUUGACAUUUUAGGCUAUAGCUAAUCCUCUGGACUUAUUGCCUUUCCUGGGAAAAAUGGAAAUAGUGCUUCCCUGGAAUAGUUAUUAAAAAUAUCUUUUUAAGAUUUUGGAUAUUUGUAAAAUUUGAUUAUUUUAAGCUCAGAGGAAUGGGAAAGCUGAAGAAGAACUGGCAAGGAUGACUAGAGCCAACGUUUUCUUAAAAAAAAGGAGGAAAAGAAACAAAAAAUCAGUAAUAAUUCACCAACUUAAAGUUGAAAGAUUUACUGUCAUGCCAAAAUAAAGUAAAGGCCAUAGUGCUGAAACAGAGAGGUCACCUUUUCUAUGCCUUGAGACAGAAUGAAAAGAGAUGCUGGAAAAGUGAGAAGCAGCAGGUGAGGAAAGGAGAGAAAACCACAACCCAUUUUGGUUUUGUGGACAGGUUUUUAACAGAGCUAAACUUCAGCCUUUACAUUUUCAUAAGUUGCAGAAAGGAAAGUCUUAAAGAUUUCUUAAAGUUGAAUCUGUUUGGUUCUAUUUAUAUAACAUUCUCAAAAUGACAACGUUUUUAGCGAUGGAGAGCAGAUUAGUGGUUGCCAGGGGUUAGAGAUGGGGCAGAGGGCUCUGUGAGUUUUUACUUUGUUUAUAUCGAAACUGUGUGUUUAUGAUCAUAAAGAAUUAGGAUUACUUCCUCCUGAUCCUUCCAUCAUUAUGAAGUGACCUUCUUUUUAAUUCCUGGUGAUAAUUGUUAUUAACGGAGCCACUGCAUCUUUGUUUAAUUAGUGUUAUAGCAGGAUAAGCACACUGUCUUCUAUUUACUUCUUAUCUACUUGGAUCUUUCAAUAUAAAAUAGGCAGCAUGUCAUUUUUAUCUUGCGUUUUUAUCCAGUCUGAUGUUGUCUGCGUUUUAAUUGGGAUGUGGUCUGUUUACCUUGUGAUUAUUGAUAUGGUUAGGUUUGAGUCUGUCAUUGUGUCAUUUGUUUUCAUUUGGCUCAUCUGUUCUUAGAACUUCUUUUACUCCUUUUCUGCUUUCUUUCGAAUGGAGGCUUUUUGUGAUUCUAUUUCAUCUCCUUUGCUGUCUUAUUAAUGACAGCAUUUCUUUUGUUUGCUUUGUACUUUCACCGGCCGCCGUAGGGUUUGCUGUACACACAUUUAAAUGAUCACAUCUACCUGCAAGCGAUACAGCGUCACUGCACGCACAGUGUGAGAAACAGGAUGGUAUGUUUUCAUUUCUCCCUUCUUGGGCUUCACGCGAUGGUAGUCAUGUUUUAUUUAUUCAUAUGUUAUAAACCCUGCACUAAGUUGUUGUUCCUGCUGUUUAGUCAGUGAUCUUUAAAGAGAUUUAAAUAAGAAAAAAAUUCUUAUACAUUUACUCCUGCAGUCACCAUUCCCAAUGUUGUGCUCAUUCUUUUAUUUAGAUUCAUAUUUUCAUGAAGUAUAAGGUUCCUUCUAGCAGAACUAGCCUUAGCUUUCCUUGUCCUGUGGUUCCAUUGGUGGUCGUUUCUUUUAACCCUUGUAUGUCAGAAAAAGUCUGUUGAUCACUUUCAUUUUUUCAAAGGUAUUUUCUCUGGGCUCAUCAGGUUUUCUUUUAGUAUUUCAAAGAUGUUUCUCCAUUGUCUUAUGGCUUGCAUUGUUUCCAGUAAGAAAUUUGCUAUCACUUUUAGAUAAUUUUCUUUUUUUUUUUUAAUUAAAGAAUAGUUGAUUUACAAUGUUGGGCCAGUUUCUGCUGUUCAGCAAAGUGACUCGGUCAUACAUAUUUAUAAGUUCUUUUUGUUUUUUAUGUUAUUUUUCCAUAAGAUUUUUUUAUUGCCUGUUUUGAACUAUUGAUUUUGAUACAUAAUUUUCUCCCUGUUUCUCGUACUUAGUAAACUUGGAUAUGUGGGUUUAUAGUUUUCAUCAGAUUUGAAAAUAUUUUGCCAUACUUUCUUCAAAUAUUUCUUCUGCUUCCUCCCUCUUCUCUCUCAAGGAUUCUAAUCACACACAUAUUAUUAGGAUGCUUGAAGUUAUCCCACAGUUUGCUAAUACCCAAUUUUAUUUUUAGUUCUUUUUUUCUGUGUUUUCAUUUUAGAUAGUUGGGUUUUUUUUGUUUGUUUGUUUGUUUGUUUGUUUGUCUUUUUGCCAUUACUGGGGCUGCUCCCAAGGCAUAUGGAGGUUCCCAGGCUAAGGGUCGAAUCGGAGCUGCAGCCACUGGCCUACACCAGAGCCACAGCAACUCGGGAUCCAAGCCACAUCUGCGACCUACACCACAGCUCACGGCAACGCCAGAUCCUUAACCCACUGAACAAGGCCAGGGAUUGAACCCACAGCUUCAUGGUUCCUAGUUGGAUUUGUUAACCACUGACUGAGCCACGACGGGAACUCCUUAGAUAGUUUUUUUCUAUUGCUGUGUGUCUUCAAGUUCAUUCAUCUUUUCUUCUGCCAUUAAUCACAUUUGGUAUACAUUUGUUUUUAUCUCAACUUGGGUUUUUUUUAAAAAUCUUCUAUGUCUCAACUUUGUAUGCCUGAGGGAUACUGUUUUUAAUCCUGUUCCUUGUAAUAUCUGUGUCCAAUAUCAAUACCCCUCUCAAAAAUUGAUUUAUUUUUCUCAUUAUGGAUCUUUUUUUUUGGUUUGUUUUUUACUUCUUUGAAUGCCUAGUAGUAUUUGACUAGACAUCAGAUGUGAUUCUUACCUUUUCACAGAUGAAUUUUUUCAUACUCUCAUAAAUAAUCUUGAGCUUCAUUCUGGAACACAGUGGAGGUACUCGGAAACAGUUUGAUCCUUUUAGGUCUUUAAAAUUAGUUCUUGGAGUUCCCAUUGUGACUCCAUGAGUUAAGGUCCCAACAUUGUCUCUGUGAGGAUGCAGGUUCGAUCCCUGGCCUCACUCAGUGGGCUGCGGAUCUGACAUUGCCUCAAGCUGUGGUGGAGGUUGCAGAUGUGGCUCGGUUCUGGUGUUGCCAUGGCUGUGGCGUAGGCCACAGCUGCAGCUCCAAUUCAACCCCUGGCCCAGGAACUUCCAUAUGCCACGGGUACGGCCAUAAAAAGAAAAAAGCUAGUUCAGUAGGACCAGAACAACAUUUAGUCUAGAGCUAUUUGUCCUCUACUCCUGAAGCAAGACCCUUUGGCGUCUGCCCAAUGCCCUCUGAAUGAGGAGUUUUUCGCGUCUGGCUAGGAAUGGACCCAAUCCAGGGCCCUGAGUAAGUGUGAGGUACGCUUCUCUCAUCUGUUCAGCUGGUUUUCCUCCUAGCCCUUGGUGGUUUCAUCAGAUGCAUGCACCGAUUCAUACCCUGCUGAGCUCUCAUGCAGGACCUGUUCAGAUCUCUAGGGUUUUCUUUCUUUGUAGGUGUCUCCUUUCCCGUAUGCUGUGAGCUCUAGCCACAGUGUCCUGAGAACACUCCAUGCCGUCUCUUCAACUUGGGGAGUCUUACCAGGCUUUUCACCUGUGUUCUCCUCUUCUUCACUAUGGCCUGGAAACUCGCGGGACAGUCAUUGGGGCAAUCACAGGGCUCACCUCCUUUGUUUCCCAUCUCUCAGAGAUCACUCUGCUGUGUGGCUCAACCUCCAGUGUCGUGGAAAUAGUCGUUUUGUAUAUUUUGUCUUUUUUUUGGGGGGGGUGCCUCAGGUGGGGGCGGGGUGUAAAUUAGGAUUCUGUUAUUCCAUGUGGUUGCAAGUGAAAAAUCUCAAAAUUAGGUUUUUUUUCCCCUUUUAUAUAUUUAAUGUCACUAUUAAGAAAAAAGUUGUACUUAGACCAUUCAUGGGUAGGCUGUUUUGAAGUUUGUGAAGAUCUGAAGUGGGAUAAAGGGAGUGAGGCUUUAGAAAUUAAAACUGACUACACGUUCCCUUCCUUCCCUAGAGAUUCUGAUUUGCUCUUUACUAGGUUGUUGCUCUGCUCCCUCAUUAAUCAGAGUCCCUUUGUUCCUUCUGCAGAGAUUCUUUAAAUGGGCUCUAUGAAUAUAUCACUCAAAAUGCAUGAGGAUGUUAUAAAUAAAAUUGUCAUGGUCUGUAUGUUUUAAUAUAGAUAAUUAAAUCUCUGACAGUACAGUCUUGUAGAGAACACAUAAGGAGAAGACUUACCGUGUGUUAAAGUGUAUUUUAAAGCUAAGAAAUCUAAAUUAUUGAAUUUCUAAUGCUAAGAUAGCCACAGAUUUGUGGGUCAAAAUACAAUGCCCAUGGACAGAUUCAUAAAUGUGUUUUAAACAUUUAGCAUAUGAUGGCAGUAGAUGGCAUUGAGACUACUAGACAACACAUUGAAAAAAAUUACAGUUGGAUAGGUAUCUUCCAAAUAGGUUAAAUGUUAUCUAAAACUAUCAGGGAGUUCCCGUCAUGGUGCAGUGGAAACAAAUCCAACUAGGAACCAUGAGAUUGUGGGUUCGAUCCCUGGCCUCGCUCAUUGGGUUAAGGAUCUGGCAUUCCUAUGAGCUGUGGUGUAGGUUACUGACAUGGCUUAGAUCUGGUGUUGCUCUGGCUGUG
Molecule: long non-coding RNA, 8046 nt
Filed under: Sus scrofa (pig)
Lineage: Eukaryota; Metazoa; Chordata; Mammalia; Artiodactyla; Suidae
Description: lncRNA (ENSSSCG00005028627.1)
Source: RNAcentral